CAAGCUUUCAUCUUUAUUUAUUUAUUCUGUUUUUGAAUUUUAGGAUAAUUUAUUUUAUUUCAGACUUGUUAUUUAGGAAUUCAUCAACCCUACCCGUCCCUUAGGUUUUUGAAAAAUCAAGUUGGUUAUCGAUAUUUGAGCUAAGUACCACUUGUUCCAUGAGUUUAAUAUCUACAUUGUGAUUUUUCAGGAACAUGACGUCGCAGAUCAAUCAAACAACAUUGACAAG
This 229-nucleotide long non-coding RNA is filed under the name Olea europaea (common olive). RNAcentral's name for it is "long non-coding RNA (OEUR_LNC001933)". Lineage: Eukaryota; Viridiplantae; Streptophyta; Magnoliopsida; Lamiales; Oleaceae. The record is from RNAcentral.